GAGGGUGUAGCUCAGUGGCAGAGCGCAUGCUUAGCAUGCAUGAGGUCAUGGGUUUGAGCCCCAGGACCUUCA
RNAcentral lists this transfer RNA (72 nucleotides) under Camelus bactrianus (Bactrian camel). It matches the Rfam family "tRNA". Rfam says of the family: Transfer RNA (tRNA) molecules are approximately 80 nucleotides in length. Their secondary structure includes four short double-helical elements and three loops (D, anti-codon, and T loops). The record is from Rfam by way of RNAcentral. RNAcentral also lists the same sequence under 2 other names. Lineage: Eukaryota; Metazoa; Chordata; Mammalia; Artiodactyla; Camelidae.